Molecule: microRNA, 21 nt
Filed under: Prunus persica (peach)
Lineage: Eukaryota; Viridiplantae; Streptophyta; Magnoliopsida; Rosales; Rosaceae
Description: microRNA miRNA_325
Source: RNAcentral
UUCCAUCUUCCUGUGACAUGA